RNAcentral lists this ribosomal RNA (500 nucleotides) under uncultured bacterium. Its description in RNAcentral is "partial 16S ribosomal RNA". It matches the Rfam family "Bacterial small subunit ribosomal RNA", at positions 28 to 507 of the family's 1533-position model. The record is from RNAcentral.
GACGAACGCUGGCGGCGUGCCUAAUACAUGCAAGUCGAGCGGACUUGAAGGAGUGCUUGCACUCCUGAGAGUUAGCGGCGGACGGGUGAGUAACACGUAGGCAACCUGCCCUCAAGACUGGGAUAACUACCGGAAACGGUAGCUAAUACCGGAUAAUUUAUUACAUAGCAUUAUGUGAUAAUGAAAGACGGAGCAAUCUGUCACUUGGGGAUGGGCCUGCGGCGCAUUAGCUAGUUGGUGGGGUAACGGCCCACCAAGGCGACGAUGCGUAGCCGACCUGAGAGGGUGAACGGCCACACUGGGACUGAGACACGGCCCAGACUCCUACGGGAGGCAGCAGUAGGGAAUCUUCCGCAAUGGGCGAAAGCCUGACGGAGCAACGCCGCGUGAGUGAUGAAGGUUUUCGGAUCGUAAAGCUCUGUUGCCAAGGAAGAACGUCUCAUAGAGUAACUGCUGUGAGAGUGACGGUACUUGGGAAGAAAGCCCCGGCUAACUACGUG